This 253-nucleotide ribosomal RNA is filed under the name uncultured bacterium. RNAcentral's name for it is "partial 16S ribosomal RNA". It matches the Rfam family "Archaeal small subunit ribosomal RNA", at positions 474 to 727 of the family's 1478-position model. The record is from RNAcentral.
UACCAGCACCCCGAGUGGUCGGGACGAUUAUUGGGCCUAAAGCAUCCGUAGCCGGUCCUGCAAGUCUUCCGUUAAAUCCAGCUGCUCAACAGAUGGGCUGCGGGGGAUACUACAGGGCUAGGAGGCGGGAGAGGCAAGCGGUACUUUAUGGGUAGGGGUAAAAUCCGUUGAUCCAUAGAAGACCACCAGUGGCGAAGGCGGCUUGCCAGAACGCACUCGACGGUGAGGGAUGAAAGCUGGGGGAGCAAACCGG